CAUUCCCUUAGCUCGGGUUCUUAUCCAGCAUACCCGGAAGCUACAGAGAUGGAGAGAGAGAGGAACAGAACAAAACAAACAACACGCUCAUCCACAACAUCGAUAAGCCGCUCCGUGAACUCUUGCAUCAGGGCACUGUGGUGUUAUAGAGUUUGAACGUGCCAAGAAUUCCGGAUGGACCACGCCCAAAUGGAAGUGAAUCAAACAGGUGCACAGAACUGCCAGACGACCUCCUGAGGGUGGAAGGCAACGUCUGUUCACCCAUGAACAGGAACUGGCCAUUGUCAAUCUAGUGUUGGCAAACAACACCAUCCGCCAACAUCAACUACGAGAGCAAAUCAUCGCAGAUCAUGCAACAUUCCAUACCAUCAACCAUACCAUCUGCCGCAUCUUGUGUCAACACCAACUUACGAUGAAGCAGCUGUGCGGAGUUCCAUUUGAGAGGAACAGUGUUAGAGUCAUAAGAUCUUCACUAUGACUAUG
Oncorhynchus mykiss (rainbow trout) is the source of this 483-nucleotide non-coding RNA. The record is from RefSeq and is a predicted model, not a curated record. NCBI's taxonomy places the organism in Eukaryota, Metazoa, Chordata, Actinopteri, Salmoniformes, Salmonidae.